RNAcentral lists this long non-coding RNA (405 nucleotides) under Mytilus galloprovincialis (Mediterranean mussel). Lineage: Eukaryota; Metazoa; Mollusca; Bivalvia; Mytilida; Mytilidae. The record is from RNAcentral.
GGAGUAUAUGUAACGUGAACAUAGUCAUAUCUAGUAUUUUAUAUGAAAAGAGUUUGCAAAAUUAUAUAAAAGUUUGAAGAGGAUGGGAUUCCAAUCAAAACUUUAUCUCCACUUACUUUAUACAGAUCUUGCUGGAAAUAGUCACUUUCUUCAGCUUGAUGAUAAUGAUAAGAUUUAAAAGUGUUUGCAUAUGAGUGUCUGGGUGGAAAAGGGGGACAAUUUUCUUAAAGUGAAAGGCAAACCAAGAUGUUUCUGUAUGUUAACCUCUUGUGCUAGGUUGCUGACUGACUGACUUUAAAUGGGUUUUUUUAAAUUUCCUUGAUUCACUACUGAUUUAGCUAAGCAAAGCAAAAUAUUCUAUUGUGAUUUACAGGAUUACAGGAGUCACUUAAAUCUCUAGUCUCG